MicroRNA precursor from Chinchilla lanigera (long-tailed chinchilla), 98 nucleotides. Ensembl annotates it as microRNA 340. The record is from Ensembl. Lineage: Eukaryota; Metazoa; Chordata; Mammalia; Rodentia; Chinchillidae.
CACUUGUACCUGGUGUGAUUAUAAAGCAAUGAGACUGAUUGUCAUGUGUCUUUUGUGGGAUCCGUCUCAGUUACUUUAUAGCCGUACCUGGUAUCUGA